RNAcentral lists this unclassified non-coding RNA (414 nucleotides) under Hevea brasiliensis (rubber tree). Lineage: Eukaryota; Viridiplantae; Streptophyta; Magnoliopsida; Malpighiales; Euphorbiaceae. The record is from RNAcentral.
CAGGCCCAAUCUCUCCUAAUUUCUCUACUCCAUCGACGGCGACACCCAGGCGUUUCACUGAAUCGAACAGCGGCAAAACUCUCUUCCUGUAAUGAAUUGGCCGAGAAAGCUCCUCGUCGAGGUCGAUAUUGAUGCUGGUAACGCCAAUCUCCUUGAGGCGGAACCCUAGCUUCUCGCCGACACGGGAUGCCAUUUUGGCGUCCCAGAAGUGGUGGGAUCGCGGGAAGCGGUUGAGCCUGGUGCGGUACUGGGCGAGGAAUUCUUGCUCCGUGGAGGAGGCCAUGGCUAUGAUGGUGGAGGUCGUGGGGUUCGUGACCUGCGCUGUGAUUUUGCGGCACGAGAGGACUAGGCGGAGCAUGUGCUGAUGAUUCGCGGACAUUUUUCCUUGCAGAGAGAGAGAGAGAGAGAGAGAGA